This 253-nucleotide ribosomal RNA is filed under the name uncultured bacterium. RNAcentral's name for it is "partial 16S ribosomal RNA". It matches the Rfam family "Bacterial small subunit ribosomal RNA", at positions 524 to 776 of the family's 1533-position model. The record is from RNAcentral.
UACGUAGGGUGCAAGCGUUGUCCGGAAUUAUUGGGCGUAAAGAGCUCGUAGGCGGUUCGUCGCGUCGGCUGUGAAAACCCGGAGCUCAACUCCGGGCCUGCAGUCGAUACGGGCAGGCUAGAGUUCGGCAGGGGAGACUGGAAUUCCUGGUGUAGCGGUGAAAUGCGCAGAUAUCAGGAGGAACACCGGUGGCGAAGGCGGGUCUCUGGGCCGAUACUGACACUGAGGAGCGAAAGCGUGGGGAGCGAACAGG